This is a long non-coding RNA of Zalophus californianus (California sea lion), 1011 nucleotides long. RefSeq lists it as uncharacterized. The transcript is spliced from 5 exons. The record is from RefSeq and is a predicted model, not a curated record. NCBI's taxonomy places the organism in Eukaryota, Metazoa, Chordata, Mammalia, Carnivora, Otariidae.
CUGGGAGUCAGAGGUAUUAAGUAAUUUGUCCAAAGUUAUCAUUUAUAUAAUAUUUAUUUGCCUUUUUAUUGUCCAGAAGAAAAUUUUUCUUUGGGGGAGAUUGUGUUUCUUCUAUCCCAAACAUGUGGUUGUGGUAGAGUGGAGGCUAAUCAAAAUUCUCGUGUCCUUUGGCCACAGAGUCAGGCAUUUGUACCAGAAAGGGCCGAUCAUCAUGCCUUUGGUCCUGUGGCUUACUGUACGUUUCUGUCAUGGUUGGCCAUGUGAUCCAGGCUUGUCCAGGCUGUGGCAUUUUCUGGAAGAAUUUCAACUGAAGCACCAGGGAAACUCUUUUCUCUCUGUCCUUGUAGCUUGAAGAAAGUAUUUUUAUCAUUGUGUUUGGCCAUGGAUUGAACUUACAGUAACAGCUAGCCUGAGAGAAUGAAGCCAACCAGAGGAAGCAGAGCUGGUAGCCUCUGGGAGGAGAGCAAGAGUGGAUGGAGGGAAGAGAGAGAAGAAACUGAUGAGGUUUGAGUCUCUGGAUCCAGUCAAAAAAAUACUGAUUGAGCAGCUAGAGUCAGGAUGCAAACCCAGAUCUGGCUGACCCUACAAUCUUGAGCUUCCUUCCCAACCUUCCUUGGAGACAACCUCUGCUAAUGGAUGAACCUGAUCCUUAUUUAUUGCUUCUAGGGUAAUAUUCAUCUUAAGUUUUAAAAAACUGACAUGUCCUGAAGGAUCAGAAGACAAACUGAACACAUCUGCAAUUAUCUGGAUUUAGCCCCGAUGGUUUUAUGCAAAAACUCUGAAUGCAUUUAAGGUUUAUGUAUUGUGAAGGCGCUACUGAAAUUGGCCAAAAUUACCAUCACAAAGCGCAGCUUUUGUACGUUUGGCGUUGCAUUCUGAUCUCUGACCUGUAGUAACAGCAUUCAGAUGUGGUGAUCUACACAUGGACAGACUUUUCUUUUUAUUGACAGGAGGGAUGGAGUUUCUUGAACAACUGUGCUCAGGCUGAAACAACUGCUGAGUUCCACCAGG